ACGAGUUUGAUCAUGGCUCAGAUUGAACGCUGGCGGCAUGCUUUACACAUGCAAGUCGAACGGUAACAGGCCUUCGGGUGCUGACGAGUGGCGAACGGGUGAGUAAUGCAUCGGAACGUGCCCAAUCGGUGGGGGAUAACGUAGCGAAAGUUACGCUAAUACCGCAUAAGCCCUGAGGGGGAAAGUGGGGGACCGCAAGGCCUCACGCGAAUGGAGCGGCCGAUGUCAGAUUAGCUAGUUGGUGGGGUAAAGGCCCACCAAGGCGACGAUCUGUAGCGGGUCUGAGAGGAUGAUCCGCCACACUGGGACUGAGACACGGCCCAGACUCCUACGGGAGGCAGCAGUGGGGAAUUUUGGACAAUGGGCGCAAGCCUGAUCCAGCCAUGCCGCGUGCGGGACGAAGGCCUUCGGGUUGUAAACCGCUUUCAGCCGGAAAGAAAUCGCCGUUUUUAAUACAGACGGUGGAUGACGGUACCGGAAGAAGAAGCACCGGCUAACUACGUG
Molecule: ribosomal RNA, 504 nt
Filed under: uncultured bacterium
Lineage: Bacteria
Description: bacterial SSU rRNA
Rfam family: Bacterial small subunit ribosomal RNA
Source: RNAcentral